Molecule: non-coding RNA, 45 nt
Filed under: Schistosoma haematobium
Lineage: Eukaryota; Metazoa; Platyhelminthes; Trematoda; Strigeidida; Schistosomatidae
Source: RNAcentral
AUCCAGUUGACGAGUCCCAAAUAAGACGAAACGCCAAUUCUGGAU